Oncorhynchus tshawytscha (Chinook salmon) is the source of this 3049-nucleotide long non-coding RNA. The record is from Ensembl. Lineage: Eukaryota; Metazoa; Chordata; Actinopteri; Salmoniformes; Salmonidae.
UAGAGAACCUCGGUUAUGUAAUUAUUACCCCGGUAUGUCUGUUUUUCGAGAAGGCGAUUCCGACGCGAUUCGUUUUACCGAACUGCAAGUCAUUAUUUUUUUUCCCGCAUUCACAAUUGACCAUUAUGACGGAAGCCUGGAGGCUCUUCUAGGUGUGAAGAUAUUUAAUAUGUCUAGGGACAUCCUAAUAUUGGCCUAAUGGCCUUCAGUUCGGAGAAAGUCCAAAUAAUAAUGCAUAUCAAUAAGAACCGCAAAGUGUAACCUACGCAGAUAUUUAAUUAACUGACAUUUGUCAAUGUAUCAAUUCAUUGACACGAUAUCGUCCACCUCAUCUUUUAAAAGAGAAGAAUGGCACUAGGAAGGUUGAUAUAUUACAGAACAGAUCGUUCAUCUAUAGGCUAUGUGCAUAGCACUUUGUUUUAAGCAUCAAUUUGUUCUUAACCAAACUGAGUGCAGCACCUGUUCAACUGUAAUAUCCCUCAACACGGGGAUGACGAUUUGCACGGGAUAAGUAUUAUCAGAGGACCUUGGAGUUUGUCGGGAAAAAAUAGUUUUUUAGGGCUGAGAUAAUAACCUUCCGGCCAAGUAAAAAUUACUGACUUGGCAGAUUCAGACGGUACUAAAAUGACAAAUGCGGUGAUUUAUGCUCGUGCAAAUAAUUAUAUUACCUGAGCUCCCCCAGUAAAACUCUUCCAGUUAACACUAUUAAUGUUUGCCUUUACUGUGGGAAUUGUGGUCGAAUCAAUGCAAAAUUAGCCACUUUCAAUGCAACAUACCUGAAAACAAAACAAGCUAUGCAAGUUAUUUUGUUGUAGGCAGAACGCAUCGGAAUAUGAUUCUAUUGCAUCUAUAUAAAAAAAAAAAGCGGUGUGGCAGAACCAAUCAGAGCUGCAUUAGGCCUAUAUGCAAAUAGACCAUUGCCAUAUAUGGAUCUGUGCCAUUUUCUUUGAACUGGACUGUGUAAACAGCAUGAUAGGUCAUGAGUAAAUGCGCUUGUUUUGAGAUCAAAGCGAGAGCUGCAUAUUUGUUCAUAUCCUUUGCUAGUUAGUGAGUUAUUAGACCAGUUAUAGAUCAUUUGUAGUCAGCAAUGGGCACAACACGUGCAUUUCUAGACAUCUUUGAAAAGGGAGUCAGGUAAAGAGCUUUUUUUUUGUCUUGAAGGGGUGGUGUUGUAUUUUGAGACUGUCUUGAAUAAGCUACAUUUUCACUAUUCAAGUUUGAGCUCAGCAGACUUGAAAUUUCCUCAGUGCCGGGAACACUAAGGGAACGUUGCAUUUAUGCCUAAGGCUGAGACAAUAAGAAGACACAGUGGCAGAAUAAAUUCAACCACACCUUUGUUUCAUUACAAAACUGGAGAGAAACAUCUGUCCGGUGGAGUCCACAAAGCAUAUUGCAUGUAACAAACAGUUACAUGACCUACAUAAUGGUCAAUCAAGUUAAUGUUGCCGACACGUAACACUUUUUUGGUUACUACAUGAUACUAUAUAUGUUAUUUGUAGUUUUGAUGUCUUCACUUCUAUUCUACAAUGUAGAAAAUAGUAUUUUUUUUAAGUAAAAAAAAACCUUGAAUGAGUAGGUGUGUCCAAACGUUUGACUGGUAUUGUAUGUGAUAAGCAAAAUUGACACAGUUACAAUAGACAUCCACCAUAUUGGUGUUACCUGCAUUUUGUUAGCUCACAAUAAACACAACAGUUCAAUGCUGAGUAAAGAAGGUUAGUACUGUACAGGGAUGGUGAAAAGUAUUUAAACCAUCCUGCAGAAGUAAUUAGCAACCAGAAGGGGGCUCUCUUGCGUCACACUAGUGGUUGCCAAACACUUCCAUGCUGUGGUUACGCACCUAAAGCCUUUGAAUAUAUCUUUCUGCGGCUUACUAACUAAACAAAAGCAAUGUUGUUCAGCACAAAUACAACAUUAUCACUCUACUCCACCAACAGGUUAGUGCAGUGUUCCUUCAUCCUGAUCCUGGGGAAUCAAAGGGGGCGGGGAGGAAGAGAGCCAGUGUGAAGCAGCAGAGUCUCAGCAGCAACCUCUUCAUCCUGGAAAGAGCGGACCAAUCAGGACAGCCAUAUUUCAGUCCCGCCCCUCAGGUCCAGGAAGUAUGUCAGGAGGUGGAUGAGUUCAUCUAUGUGGCCAAUGCAGAGACGGGAAGAGGUAACACCAAGACUCCAACACAUUCCUCAUACUUGCUCCUAUUCCUAGGCCCUUGUUGCCAGCCAGAUAAUCUUGUCAAGCUAUCGCAACAUCAGGCUGGUUCCACCAGGCUACCUUCCAGGACCAGAUCCAGGGAAAGAUCAGGCUCGUUCCACCAGGCUACCUUCCAGGACCAAAUCCAGUGAAAGGUGGUGAGGGGGACAGAUCCAGGCAUUGGUGGACCCUGCCUAGUGUUCAUCCUCCAGAACCCUCCUUGUCCUGACUUUUGUGUCCAGAGAGGAACCAGACUCAAUCAGAACCACUAGUCCCAGUACUGCUAGAUUAAAGACCAGGACCCCCAGUGUGGAUAUUGCACAGAGGCUCUGCCUGUGCCUGCUGCCCAACCCCUGGAUUGUCUGUCUGUCUGUGUAGUGUCUGUCUGUCUGUGUAGUGUCUGUCUGUUUAUGUAGUUUAUGUAGUGUCUGUCUGUCUGUUGUCUGUCUGUGUAGUGUCUGUCUGUCUAUGUAGUGUCUGUCUGUCUGUCUAUGUAGUAUCUGUCUGUGUAGUGUCUGUCUGUCCUGUCUGUCUAUGGUCUAUGUAGUCUGUCUGUCUGCUAGGGUGCUCUGGUCUCAGGCUGUAGCUAUCUGUCUAAGGAACUACCUUCAGCACAAAUGCUUCUGAAGGAAUGUUCUACCUCUGAUGUGCCUUGUUUAAAUGAAUCGCAAAAUAAAAAGUCAUUAUUGGGUAAAUAUUAUUUAAUAACCCUGUAGUAAUUUUUUUGUGAAUAAGUAGUGGGUUGUGAAACAAAACAGAAGUGAAGAGAACUACUGUUUAACUGUAGCUACGGUACUUUAGUGAAGAUAAUGAAGGGUUUUGGUUAUCACAUUAUUUUCUUCUACUACUGCGUAGUUUAGAAGCA